AUGAAAAUCAUUGGUUGGAACUGCCGGGGGUUCGGGAACGGCCCGGCAGUUUGCAGCCUCCUUGACUUGGGGAGGACGGAAGAGCUCGACAUAAUGUUCUUGGCGGAGACAAAAAUGACGAUGAAAGAGCUCGAGAAAUUCAGGUGGAUGAUAGGUCUUGUUCAUAUGACAGCAUGGAACCCAGAAGGAAGAAGUAGGGGUGUGGCAUUGUUCUGGCGAAGGGGUAUAGAUGUGGUGCUCAGAUCAUAUGGUAGGAGACAUAUAGAUGUGGAUGUGAAGGAGGAGGAUGGA
RNAcentral lists this ribosomal RNA (291 nucleotides) under Triticum aestivum (bread wheat). Its description in RNAcentral is "partial small subunit ribosomal RNA". The record is from RNAcentral. Lineage: Eukaryota; Viridiplantae; Streptophyta; Magnoliopsida; Poales; Poaceae.